AACGAACGCUGGCGGCAUGCCUAACACAUGCAAGUCGAACGAGACCUUCGGGUCUAGUGGCGCACGGGUGCGUAACGCGUGGGAACCUGCCCUUAGGUUCGGAAUAACUCCCCGAAAGGGGUGCUAAUACCGGAUAAUGUCUUCGGACCAAAGAUUUAUCGCCUUUGGAUGGGCCCGCGUUGGAUUAGCUAGUUGGUAGGGUAAAAGCCUACCAAGGCGACGAUCCAUAGCUGGUCAGAGAGGAUGAUCAGCCACACUGGGACUGAGACACGGCCCAGACUCCUACGGGAGGCAGCAGUGGGGGAUAUUGGACAAUGGGCGAAAGCCUGAUCCAGCAAUGCCGCGUGAGUGAUGAAGGCCUUAGGGUUGUAAAGCUCUUUUACCCGGGAUGAUAAUGACAGUACCGGGAGAAUAAGCUCCGGCUAACUCCGUG
This 433-nucleotide ribosomal RNA is filed under the name uncultured bacterium. RNAcentral's name for it is "partial 16S ribosomal RNA". It matches the Rfam family "Bacterial small subunit ribosomal RNA", at positions 29 to 507 of the family's 1533-position model. The record is from RNAcentral.